This 497-nucleotide ribosomal RNA is filed under the name uncultured bacterium. Its description in RNAcentral is "partial 16S ribosomal RNA". It matches the Rfam family "Bacterial small subunit ribosomal RNA", at positions 28 to 507 of the family's 1533-position model. The record is from RNAcentral.
GAUGAACGCUGGCGGCGUGCCUAAUACAUGCAAGUCGAGCGAACGGACGAGAAGCUUGCUUCUCUGAUGUUAGCGGCGGACGGGUGAGUAACACGUGGAUAACCUACCUAUAAGACUGGGUUAACUUCGGGAAACCGGGGCUAAUACCGGAUAAUAUUUUGAACCGCAUGGUUCAAAAGUGAAAGACGGUCUUGCUGUAACUUAUAGAUGGAUCCGCGCUGCAUUAGCUAGUUGGUAAGGUAACGGCUUACCAAGGCAACGAUGCAUAGCCGACCUGAGAGGGUGAUCGGCCACACUGGAACUGAGACACGGUCCAGACUCCUACGGGAGGCAGCAGUAGGGAAUCUUCCGCAAUGGGCGAAAGCCUGACGGAGCAACGCCGCGUGAGUGAUGAAGGUCUUCGGAUCGUAAAACUCUGUUAUUAGGGAAGAACAUAUGUGUAAGUAACUGUGCACAUCUUGACGGUACCUAAUCAGAAAGCCACGGCUAACUACGUG